GGCUUCGUAGCUCAGCUGGUAAAGCGCUUCCGUGCUGAGGCAUGGUGUUUCUGUUGCUGGGUCGAAUCCAGCCGAAGCCC
Non-coding RNA from Paragonimus heterotremus, 80 nucleotides. NCBI's taxonomy places the organism in Eukaryota, Metazoa, Platyhelminthes, Trematoda, Plagiorchiida, Troglotrematidae. The record is from the annotation of a GenBank genome assembly.